AAGAAAUGUUCAACAUCCU
Molecule: non-coding RNA, 19 nt
Filed under: Mus musculus (house mouse)
Lineage: Eukaryota; Metazoa; Chordata; Mammalia; Rodentia; Muridae
Source: RNAcentral